RNAcentral lists this transfer RNA (72 nucleotides) under Camelus bactrianus (Bactrian camel). It matches the Rfam family "tRNA". Rfam says of the family: Transfer RNA (tRNA) molecules are approximately 80 nucleotides in length. Their secondary structure includes four short double-helical elements and three loops (D, anti-codon, and T loops). The record is from Rfam by way of RNAcentral. Lineage: Eukaryota; Metazoa; Chordata; Mammalia; Artiodactyla; Camelidae. RNAcentral also lists the same sequence under 2 other names.
GUGUAUAUAGCUCAGUGGUAGAGAGCAUGCCUAGCAUGCAUGAGGUCCUGGGUUCAAUCCCCAGUGCCUCCA